This 1173-nucleotide long non-coding RNA is filed under the name Amborella trichopoda. RNAcentral's name for it is "long non-coding RNA (ATRI_LNC001329)". The record is from RNAcentral. Lineage: Eukaryota; Viridiplantae; Streptophyta; Magnoliopsida; Amborellales; Amborellaceae.
UCUUCUGUGUGGUUCUUCACCUUCGUAAAACAAUUCCAAACACUUCAACUGCUACAGAUAAACGCCCUGGCUCCUUUUUUUGCUAAUAUUAACAUAUAUAAACAUGGCAGGUAAGUUUGUCCUCUGUGCCAUUUUCAAUAAUUAUUUUCCUUAUAAUGUAUUAUACUUCUGUCAAACUUAAGAAAACACAAAGACUAGAUAAAAAGCUCCCAACAAUCCAACACCAUAACAUCAAAGAAGAGGUGUACAAACAGUAAGAAGCAAACACUCUGUCUUCGUGAUACUAUCAAUGCUAUUUCUAGCGUUUCCACCACAAUUGCCUCAACCCUGCAAUAGCAAAGCAAGGAGAAGCACUCAAAAACUCAAAAAAGAAAAAUAAAUGCAAUGUCCUCUUCAUCUCUUUCUACAUUAAUCCAAAAAUUUCCACUUAAUAUCCAUCAAAACCCUUCAAUAAUCUAAAUCUACAACACCUAAAGGCGUCAAAUAAAAGCUCCCUGGACUUUGUUCUUUUGUUCAUUCAAGCCCUAAUUUCCACUUUAUUUCCAUCAAAUAACUAAAAGAUCUAUUUGCUAAAAAUAAGAUGAAGUGCUAAAAUGCUAACACAUAAAGCAAAUAAACUCAUGUUUCUUUCCAACUCCUUCAAUCCAAAUAUUAUUCUCAGUAACUCAGUAAAAAACAAAGCAUAAACAGAGAAGAAACCAUGAAAAAAAAAGGAAAAUCAGUCUUUGAAGCUUCUACCUAAGCUUUAUCCAUUAAAUGCUCCAGAAAACCCUAAUGUCCUGGCAAAAACGCACGACCAAAGCAAAGAUCUACAAGAAAUAUCAUGAUUUAUUGCCCUUUUCUAUACAUAAACGAAACAAAAUCAAGCUUUGUUCAUGACAAGUCUCAGAGUUCAAAAACACUUCUUGCGUGCAGGACGCAGCAACAGGGUCAUGAAGGAGCCCUUACUGUAGAUGCUCUGCAUCCAUGUAAGAGAGAGAGAAAAUACAGAGGGGCACGAAGAAGCUCUUGUAGGGUUUUUUCCUCCUCUCCCUUCUCUGUGUGCCUCUUCGGCAAAUUCUUUUUUUCUUGCUCAUGAGAGAGAGAGCAGAAGGAGGAGAGGGAAAAGCAGGGAGGAGAGGGAAGAGCGUGAGGAUUAGAGAGAGAUGCCAAGAAAUGUGACUCAAGCCAGAG